UACGAAGGGGGCUAGCGUUGCUCGGAAUCACUGGGCGUAAAGGGUGCGUAGGCGGGUUCUUAAGUCAGAGGUGAAAUCCUGGAGCUCAACUCCAGAACUGCCUUUGAUACUGAGAGUCUUGAGUUCGGGAGAGGUGAGUGGAACUGCGAGUGUAGAGGUGAAAUUCGUAGAUAUUCGCAAGAACACCAGUGGCGAAGGCGGCUCACUGGCCCGAUACUGACGCUGAGGCACGAAAGCGUGGGGAGCAACAGGG
This 253-nucleotide ribosomal RNA is filed under the name uncultured bacterium. RNAcentral's name for it is "partial 16S ribosomal RNA". It matches the Rfam family "Bacterial small subunit ribosomal RNA", at positions 524 to 776 of the family's 1533-position model. The record is from RNAcentral.